This 1208-nucleotide long non-coding RNA is filed under the name Cottoperca gobio. RNAcentral's name for it is "lncRNA (ENSCGOG00000007226.1)". The record is from RNAcentral. Lineage: Eukaryota; Metazoa; Chordata; Actinopteri; Perciformes; Bovichtidae.
GCUGGAUGUUACAGAGGAGUCUCCUCCUACUGGAUGUUACAGAUGUUACAGAGGAGUCUCCUGCUGCUGGAUGUUACAGAGGAGUCUCCUCCUGCUGGAGGUUACAGAGGAGUCUCCUCCUGCUGGAGGUUACAGAGGAGUCUCCUGCUGCUGAAGGUUACAGAGGAGUCUCCUCCUGCUGGAGGUUACAGAGGAGUCUCCUCCUGCUGGAUGUUACAGAGGAGUCUCCUCCUGCUGGAUGUUACAGAGGAGUCUCCUGCUGCUGGAUGUUACAGAGGAGUCUCCUGCUGUUGGAUGUUACAGAGGAGUCUCCUGCUGCUGGAUGUUACAGAGGAGUCUCCUCCUGCUGGAUGUUACAGAGGAGUCACCUGCUGGAUGUUACAGAGGAGUCUCCUCCUGCUGGAUGUUACAGAGGAGUCACCUGCUGGAGGUUAAAGAGGAGUCUCCUGCUGCUGGAUGUUACAGAGGAGUCUCCUCCUGCUGGAUGUUACAGAGGAGUCUCCUGCUGCUGGAUGUUACAGAGGAGUCUCCUGCUGUUGGAUGUUACAGAGGAGUCUCCUGCUGCUGGAUGUUACAGAGGAGUCUCCUCUUGCUGGAUGUUACAGAGGAGUCUCCUCCUGCUGGAUGUUACAGAGGAGUCACCUGCUGGAUGUUACAGAGGAGUCUCCUCCUGCUGGAUGUUACAGAGGAGUCACCUGCUGGAGGUUAAAGAGGAGUCUCCUGCUGCUGGAUGUUACAGAGGAGUCUCCUCCUGCUGGAUGUUACAGAGGAGUCUCCUCCUGCUGGAUGUUACAGAGGAGUCUCCUCCUGCUGGAGGUUACAGAGGAGUCUCCUGCUGCUGGAUGUUACAGAGGAGUCUCCUGCUGCUGAAGGUUACAGAGGAGUCUCCUCCUGCUGGAUGUUACAGAGGAGUCUCCUCCUGCUGGACGUUACAGAGGAGUCUCCUCCUGCUGGAGGUUACAGAGGAGUCUCCUGCUGCUGGAUGUUACAGAGGAGUCUCCUCCUGCUGGAUGUUACAGAGGAGUCUCCUGCUGGAUGUUACAGAGGAGUCUCCUCCUGCUGGAGGUAACAGAGGAGUCUCCUCCUGCUGGAUGUUACAGAGGAGUAUCCUACUGCUGGAUGUUACAGAGGAGUCUCCUAAUGGAUGUUACAGAGGAGUCUCCUCCUCCAGCUGGAUGUUACAGAGGAGUCUCCUGCUGGAUGUUACA